RNAcentral lists this ribosomal RNA (1149 nucleotides) under Triticum aestivum (bread wheat). RNAcentral describes it as "partial small subunit ribosomal RNA". Lineage: Eukaryota; Viridiplantae; Streptophyta; Magnoliopsida; Poales; Poaceae. The record is from RNAcentral.
AUGUCCACUCUUCAAGGUUGGCCAGACCUCCCGGAUGACCUGCUUCAUUCCAUUGUUCCUCGAUUGGGAUCCUUCCUUGACCUUCUUGCUUUUGCUGCCGCCUGCUCCUCUUGGCGUGCUGCCUUCUCCUCCUAUCCAUCCAAACACACACUCUUGCAAAUGUUGCCACCUCUCCUCCUCCAACCUGAUGUUCAUGAGUGCCCUCCUCGUCCUCGCCCAUUUAGCAACAGCCUCGUGCCUACACAUUCAUGCCAUGUCACUGAUUUAGCCAACCAAGGUACCUACAUGCGUUGUCAGAUUCCCCGGUUUUCUCCUUUUGGUGAGAGCAAAUCCCCACAAAGUCCUCUAGAUAGUUCUUAUUUUGGGGGUGUUUCCUAUGGUCAUCUCAUCUUGUUUAACCAAAAUCAAUCAUGUCUUGUUAUUGAUGUCUUUACUGGUGUUAGUUUCUCAACUCCGAAACUACCGGUCGAUGAAAACACUUUCCUGGACCAUGCUUCCCUCACGGCUCCUCUGACGUCACCCAACUCAUAUCUCAUGGUCACCAAAGGACGCCACUAUUUCUUUUGGCGUGUUGGUAGUAAAUCUUGGUUGAGACGUUCUCUUCACAAUGGAACGAUCGAGAAGGUCAUGGUUUUCAAAGGACAAAUAUUUGGCAUGGAUAAUGACUGCAGGCUCAUUAUCAUGAACUUGGUACCACGGAUCCGAAUACAGAAAAUAACAGUUGAUCCUGGUGAAAGCAUGCACAACAAAUGGCAUCUUCCCCACCCAUGGCUUGUUGCGUGCGGCGAUAUGCUUCUCCUGGUUGGUUGUCAUCGAUCUUUUCCAUCAACAGGGGAUACGUUUGAAGCUUUCCGCCUCGACCUAACGAGUGAACCUGCAAAGUGGAUGAAGGUGGAAAAGCUAGAAAAUUGGGCAAUCUUCAUCAGCACAGACGACAGAAGCCAGCCAUUGUGUUGCAUGAACCCAGAGAGAUGGGGAGGGAGGAGCAAUUCUAUAUACUUCUAUUUCCAUGAUUCUAAUAAUUGGAUCAAUUUUGAGCUGGACAAGCCACUGCAGGGAAAUGCCUCUACUCCAACAAUCUUUAUCUGCAGAGGCCGUGCCAGUAUGAUGCAACCUACAUGGGUUGUGCCUAGUAUGUUCUAUUCGUGA